Long non-coding RNA from Lagopus leucura (white-tailed ptarmigan), 687 nucleotides. RefSeq lists it as uncharacterized. The record is from RefSeq and is a predicted model, not a curated record. NCBI's taxonomy places the organism in Eukaryota, Metazoa, Chordata, Aves, Galliformes, Phasianidae. The transcript has 3 exons.
UUCACACAUGGGCCCAAUGAAUUUUGACAGACAGCAUUUGUGCACUUUAAGAACUGUGAUAAAGAUGCUGAAACCUUGAAAUGCAGGUGCGUUCUGCAGAGAGCUUCUUUUCAGUAAAAGGAAAAGAAUGCCUCUGAAACAAGCAUGUAGAAAAGAAGUGGGAAUAUGCUUUGCUUAAAACCAGCAGGCAGUAUUGCUCAGCAAGGAAAUGUAGGAGUUCUCAUGGAGCAAGUAGAGCAAGAGCUGGUGUCUGCUGCCCUGGCAUAUUAUGGCUUAUUGCUUUCUCCUGUGGAAGAAUGAUGGCUGUAGCAGCAGGAUCAGUCCACAGAAUGCAGAUAGUAAUUUUGGGAGUACAAAGGUUUAUUUGCACUUUUGGGAAGCCAUCUGGCAAUACCUUCCCUCACUAGUACUGUUGAGACUACUGAGGAAAGGUGUGUGUCAGGGCACUGUGCUGCAGUGAUGAAGGGAGGUAUCCCGCAACUGAGAUGGAUAGCUACAGUUUUGUGACCUAUGGGUAUGUACAUUUUCUUAUUCAUGCUGAAGAACCUAUUCACUUCUUGAUCAAACUGUAUUAGGUAAGAGUUCUUACUAUAAAAGAAAAUCCAAAGGAAUACUGUAUUCCAGAUGACUGCUCCAUGGAGCUGUCAGUAUUUGAGUCAUAGAAGCCAAAUAUUGUCACCAGAAGCU